This 254-nucleotide ribosomal RNA is filed under the name uncultured bacterium. Its description in RNAcentral is "partial 16S ribosomal RNA". It matches the Rfam family "Bacterial small subunit ribosomal RNA", at positions 524 to 776 of the family's 1533-position model. The record is from RNAcentral.
UACGGGGGGAGCAAGCGUUGUUCGGAUUUACUGGGCGUAAAGGGCGCGUAGGCGGCCACCGCAAGUCGACUGUGAAAUCUCCGGGCUUAACCCGGAAAGGUCAGCCGAUACUGCGGGGCUAGAGUGCAGAAGGGGCAACUGGAAUUCUCGGUGUAGCGGUGAAAUGCGCAGAUAUCGGGAAGAACACCCGUGGCGAAGGCGGUUCUCUGGGACGGUACUGACGCUGAGACGCGAAAGCGUGGGGAGCGAACAGG